UGGGGAAUUUUGGACAAUGGGCGCAAGCCUGAUCCAGCCAUGCCGCGUGCGGGAAGAAGGCCUUCGGGUUGUAAACCGCUUUUGUCAGGGAAGAAAUCCUUUGAGCUAAUACCUCGGGGGGAUGACGGUACCUGAAGAAUAAGCACCGGCUAACUACGUGCCAGCAGCCGCGGUAAUACAGAGGGUGCAAGCGUUAAUCGGAAUUACUGGGCGUAAAGCGCGCGUAGGUGGUUAGUUAAGUUGGAUGUGAAAUCCCCGGGCUCAACCUGGGAACUGCAUUCAAAACUGACUGACUAGAGUAUGGUAGAGGGUGGUGGAAUUUCCUGUGUAGCGGUGAAAUGCGUAGAUAUGCGGAGGAACACCGAUGGCGAAGGCAGCCUCCUGGGCCAGUACUGACGCUCAUGCACGAAAGCGUGGGGAGCAAACA
RNAcentral lists this ribosomal RNA (427 nucleotides) under uncultured bacterium. RNAcentral describes it as "bacterial SSU rRNA". It matches the Rfam family "Bacterial small subunit ribosomal RNA", at positions 355 to 774 of the family's 1533-position model. The record is from RNAcentral.